AGUGAACGCUGGCGGUAGGCCUAACACAUGCAAGUCGAACGGCAGCACAGUAAGAGCUUGCUCUUACGGGUGGCGAGUGGCGGACGAGUGAGGAAUACAUCGGAAUCUACUUUUUCGUGGGGGAUAACGUAGGGAAACUUACGCUAAUACCGCAUUCGACCUACGGGUGAAAGCAGGGGAUCUUCGGACCUUGCGCGAUUGAAUGAGCCGAUGUCGGAUUAGCUAGUUGGCGGGGUAAAGGCCCACCAAGGCGACGAUCCGUAGCUGGUCUGAGAGGAUGAUCAGCCACACUGGAACUGAGACACGGUCCAGACUCCUACGGGAGGCAGCAGUGGGGAAUAUUGGACAAUGGGCGCAAGCCUGAUCCAGCCAUACCGCGUGGGUGAAGAAGGCCUUCGGGUUGUAAAGCCCUUUUGUUGGGAAAGAAAAGCAGCAGGUUAAUACCCCGCUGUUCUGACGGUACCCAAAGAAUAAGCACCGGCUAACUUCGU
This 491-nucleotide ribosomal RNA is filed under the name uncultured bacterium. Its description in RNAcentral is "partial 16S ribosomal RNA". It matches the Rfam family "Bacterial small subunit ribosomal RNA", at positions 29 to 506 of the family's 1533-position model. The record is from RNAcentral.